Long non-coding RNA from Astatotilapia calliptera (eastern happy), 313 nucleotides. The record is from Ensembl. Lineage: Eukaryota; Metazoa; Chordata; Actinopteri; Cichliformes; Cichlidae.
GAAGGUUCAGCUGCUGCGUGUUCCCGGGAGAAAAAGGCCACAACUUCAGAAACAUGGUGAAAAAAAAAUCCUCCCCUGAAGUGUUAAUGGGUAAAUGUGACACUGCAAUCAACACAUCAGUGCAGGAUUUUUACGCCUUCGAGCACGAAAUAAAGAGCAAAGUAAAACAAUAGUAUUCACCUCAUCUAAUGAGAACCACAUGCACCUGCUUUGCUUUGCUAGCUAAUAUACUGAAAGUAAAAACUAACAAGUAGCUAAUUUUAAUGUGAGUGCAUUUCAAUACAUUUAAAAACACAUUUUUCACUGUCAGUCU